This 2267-nucleotide long non-coding RNA is filed under the name Nicotiana benthamiana. RNAcentral's name for it is "long non-coding RNA (NBEN_LNC041176)". The record is from RNAcentral. Lineage: Eukaryota; Viridiplantae; Streptophyta; Magnoliopsida; Solanales; Solanaceae.
ACGUACUCAUGAGGCAUAUUGGGGUCCUUUGUUGUUUGGUUGCUGCUUCUCUAACUUCUAUUGUGACAAAUUGAUGGAAGUGGCUGUGGCUCUAGCCUUUUUUUAAAAAAAUUAUUACAUAGGUGGUAGCGGAAGGGAAAAUGGAGAGGGGAUUACAAGGUGGAGAAUCGAACUCCCACCAUCAAGGUGAAAAUUCAGGUAACUAACCAAUUGAGCUAUUAAGAUUCCCCGCUGUGGCUCUAGGCAUAUUUUACAAUUCCAAUUUCCCCAUUUUUAUAUUUAAAAGCUGGACACUAUGAAUCUCCUCUCUCCCUNNNNNNNNNNNNNNNNNNNNNNNNNNNNNNNNNNNNNNNNNNNNNNNNNNNNNNNNNNNNNNNNNNNNNNNNNNNNNNNNNNNNNNNNNNNNNNNNNNNNNNNNCCCAUCCCAAAAUAUAUACAAUUCAGUCAAGAUUGGUUCAUUUCCUGCUGUCAAAAUGAAGAAGUAGUUUCUCAUCCUGACAUAUCUGCCCUGCCAGUUUGGAUAUGUCCUUUUCUACAUUUCCUCUGAAGAUCUUUGACAUGGCCUAUAGGUACAACUACAUGUGAUUAUGUGGUCAGUUUGAAUUAUCCGGGUACUAUUUUAGUGCAGGUUGUUAUAUGCAAUCAUUGAUAACAUGUUGUUACCUGUCUACAUGUGACUACCAAGACAUGUUAUUCACCCCUUAAUCUUGUAUUUAGUGAUAAAGAUUUGCUUCGUACUAAAUAUGUACUAAACGGAUUUGCUUCGGCUUUUCUUAAGAUACAACAUCAUAUUUUUAUGCCUUAAAUGUGCUGCAUGAGGUUGAAUUCUCAAAAAAAAAAAAAGUGCUGCUUGAGGUCGAGCCGGUUUAGCUACUGGUAUUUCCCUUAUUUCUUCAUUUACUAACAGAUUAUAAAGAUUCUCUACUGAUUAAGCAAGAUCAUUUUGACAUUACUUCAAGUUGGUAUGCCAAAUGAUUAUGAGAAAGCCCACGAGAUACAGAUUACCUACCUGCUGCUUCUUUAAUUACAAAAAAAAAAAGAACUAUUAAUUUGAUUACCAACUCAAGCCUUGAUUAUGUAUCUUAAGAUUCUUGGAUGCCCAUAUUGAUAAAAAGAUAUCCUUGGAUGCUGGUGUUUCUGACUCUUUUUUAUUCUAACUAAAAGUUCUCCAAACCGUGGUUAUUUCUAACAUUAGCUUCUAGUAUUACUAAAACUUUUUACGGUUUCAAGCUAAUAGUGCUUGAUCUGGAGGUCGAUUACUUUCUUGUUAUUCACUAUAUUUUCCUUGUGUAGCAUGUGGAAGGAAGAAAUUUUCAUACUCUAUAAAGUCUUUCAUCAAUCAAUUAUCUCCCACUGACUUCUACAGUUGCUUUCCUAGAAAGCAGAUAAGAUUACUUGAUCACUUCAUCGCCGAGCAAUGGUUGAGUCAUUGAGAUAUUGAAGUAACAACCUGGAGAUCUUAAAUUCUAAUUCAGAUUACAACUCUAAGUGUGAGCUCCAAACUUUGUGGGAGAUUUAUUCAACAAUUGUAUUGUGGAUAUGGCAGACUGUCCAGUAGUUUAGUCGAGGUGCAGUACACAAGCUGUUCGAGGCACCAGGUUGUAGUACAAACGAAUCCAUGAAUUUUAUAGAUAAAGAAUUUGGCUAUCCAUUUUCUAAAGACACUAAAUAAUGGGAAAGAUUUCAUUUAUAUGCUUUGCUUGAAGGCUUGUUACAUAAGUUUACAACUCUUUCCUAGCAAGUGGAAAAACAAAAACUGAAAAUUCUAAGCUAGUUCUAAUCUGAAGCUCAGAAUGCUACUUCUUGGCUCUUCAUUUCAUAAUUUCAAUUGAGAUGUCACAUCAACAAAAUCAUUCUCAUUGCAAGGUAUUGUAAGACCACCCAUUGGAUGAUGAAAUCCAAAUUCUUCUUCUGCUUUGCGUAACAACUUCUGGAACGAAGGAUGGUUCAGGUAUGUUAUUGGUACAACGUAUCGUCUCUUCUCUAACUCUCCGACAUAAACUGCAAAAUGUCCUUUAGGAACAUCUGAUUGAUUCCUUGUAAGAACAGACUGUAAUUUGUUGACUUGCUUGGCAGUGGAAAUCAUUGGCAACAGACGAAAUCCCAUGGCUUAGCUUCUUGAUAUGUCAAGUAUUGGGUGCUUGAUAAAAGAUUGAAGCAGGAAUUGUUUAGAUUGAUAAAGAUUUGUGUUUGAUCUGGAAUUGUUUGUGAAGUUUGCACGGAAAAUGUUAUAUUUAUAGAGUUUCUUGCAUAUAAUUCCAUCGCGU